UAAUACGUAGGGUGCGAGCGUUAAUCGGAAUUACUGGGCGUAAAGCGUGCGCAGGUGGUUGUGUAAGCUUGAUGUGAAAUCCCCGGGCUUAACCUGGGAAUGGCAUUGAGGACUGCACGGCUAGAGUGUGGCAGAGGGGGGUGGAAUUCCGCGUGUAGCAGUGAAAUGCGUAGAGAUGCGGAGGAACACCGAUGGCGAAGGCAGCCCCCUGGGCUAACACUGACACUCAUGCACGAAAGCGUGGGGAGCAAACAGGAUUAGAUACCCUGGUAGUCCACGCCCUAAACGAUGUCUACUAGUUGUUGGGGUAGCAAUACCUUGGUAACGCAGCUAACGCGUGAAGUAGACCGCCUGGGGAGUACGGUCGCAAGAUUA
Molecule: ribosomal RNA, 375 nt
Filed under: uncultured bacterium
Lineage: Bacteria
Description: bacterial SSU rRNA
Rfam family: Bacterial small subunit ribosomal RNA
Source: RNAcentral